AUUAAUCAUCCACCUACAUAAGUCACCAGACUAAUUUUUCUGUUUUGUCUCUAACUUGUUUUGCAGAUUUAAAAGAACUGCUGGAGCAAACUAGACAAUGUGGGGCUCGGGAUCCCAGCUCGGUGAAGCUGACUGAUCUGUGUCUCAAGUCGGACCCAAACUUUCAUCACAUAUUAAGGCAAACUCCCGUCAUAUGCAGUGGGCUAAAUUCUCUUCUCAUUUACAUGGAAAUGGGAGGGCUGAUGGAUAUUGUAUGCAGGUCACAAUGUCAGAUUUCCAAUCAGAUCAUCAAAAUUAAGCAUCAGUUUGAUAAACCCAAUUUUCCAGCUGGAAACACAGUAGUCCUGAUAGCUGUAAUCUUGUUUCAGGGACACAAACAGAAUUUGAAAUGACAAAAGUAUUCCAGGAGAUCGGAACUGAAAGC
Molecule: long non-coding RNA, 424 nt
Filed under: Anser brachyrhynchus (Pink-footed goose)
Lineage: Eukaryota; Metazoa; Chordata; Aves; Anseriformes; Anatidae
Description: lncRNA (ENSABRG00000005128.1)
Source: RNAcentral